Molecule: long non-coding RNA, 5133 nt
Filed under: Homo sapiens (human)
Lineage: Eukaryota; Metazoa; Chordata; Mammalia; Primates; Hominidae
Description: non-protein coding LINC02458:14
Source: RNAcentral
CUUGCGUCGCUGCUCCUGUCUCCGUGUAACUCACAAUAAAGAGAUUUUGGCAUCAACCGUGAGCUUAGGGGUAGAAGGGUAUAUGUUAGGAGGUGGGAGCAGAAUCAAUUCUUCAAAUCUUAAUGAUGGUGAAGAAGAGUGCUCACCAGAUUCCCUUCUGGUCUGGAAAAAGAAAUCCCUUCUUUUGUGGAUGUCAUCUCUACCAUCUCUCGGUGAAAAAUAUUUCAAGAGAAUCCUAAGAUGGAGAGAGCAUUGGAAGUCAUCCGGCCCAAUUCCCUUGUGCAAUUCAAAGCUUCUUUGUAAGAAAAAUGCCCCCAGAAGUUUGUUUGCAUCAUGAAGAUCAGAUUUUGAGGAUCCAGUCUGGCUCUUCCCUGUACAAAACAUUCCUCACAAACAGAAUAUGGACAAUUGUUAAAUGUCAAAGGUAAAGUUAUUGUGGGAACUCCUUCAAAAAGUUCAAGUGAGAGCCCAUUCUAUGAAUGACCAUUUACAUCUAAUUUUUUUCUGUGCUAUGUUACUUAUUCUGAAGUGGUUGAUCCAAUUCCUAAAAGGGAAUAUUUCAUUACCUUUUAUUUCCUAUAGCAUCCAUUCUGACCCCUUUUCGGUUUAAUUAUUCCCUGAUUCCAGUCUUCAUUCACUCAUUUAUUUGAGGAAUAUUUAUUGACCAACAACUAUGCCAGGUCCCAUUCUAUGUGUAGGGACUAUAAAGUUGAACAAGACAGAGGAGGUACUGGCCUCAGAAUUUACAUUCUAGUAGAUGAGAAAGUAAAAAUAAACACAUGAAAACAUGAAUGAACCGGAUAUUGUAGACUGUGAUAGGUGUAGUUUGGGUAAAGCACAGAGUGCAGUAGUAAAGAUAAACUGCACUCAGAGUGGGGCUAUUUUAGAUGGAAUGGAGAUCUCUGAGGAAAUGAAAUUUGAGCUGAGACCUAAAAGGUCACCCAAGGACUCAUGGGAAAACUCAGUUGUUUCUAUCAAAAUUUAGCUUCAUGAACUCCAGGCCCUUGCAAAUGAUGGUUACCAGGUGAGAAAUGUCUCACUGGCAACAGAGGUUGGCAGACCCAGCUCCAGUUCCAUCCCAGCCAACAUACCAAUGUCAUUAAAAUAAGGCCAUUCAUCAAGGUGGAGACUAUUACUAGAAACAAGCAUUCUAAAGUGCCAUUUGAGUGCCAGGCUCUCAACACUGGGCGUAGCACUGCUCCAUGAGGCUUUUGAGAGCAUAUACUGAGGCAUGACCAAAAAAAUUAAGUCCCAUGUAAGUGAUGCAACUGCUCCCCAAUUACUGUGGAAGUAUCUGCAGACUAACUAUUGUGCGUGUGUGUUUGUUUGCUUUAAUGAAUAAAUUCAGUCAACCAACCAUCUAGCUAUUGACUAAAUCCAUUCUUUUUCUUCCAAAAUGUCUAUUGGCUGAAGUUUACUGGUUUUUAUUUCUAUUCGCAUACGUAAUUUUCUAAACCCCAUUCUUAUGGAACCUUCUCUAAGUUCCUCUCUAUGGCCCUGUCCAUGUUCAUACGGAUACACAUAAAGACACAAAUACACCAAACUAAGUUUAGAGCAGUCUGGUGCCUGCCUAAGACUUCAGCCUCAUCUCCUGCUUCUACCCUCUUUAGUUUAGGAAAAACAGGUAACGUUGCUGAGUGCCAAGUAUUGUGUUAGUAGCUUUGCAUGCAUUUUUUCAUUUUAUCUUCACAAGUUUCUUCUAUCACCAUGAUCUGUAUGUUUGACCAUGGUGUUUCCUCCACCUGAAAUUCCCUUGGUGCUCUGCCUGGGGAACUGUUACUCAUUCUUCAAAUCUCAACGGAAUGAUCUCCUCCUCUGGAAAGCUCUCCCUACUUCCCUAGGAAGAAGUAAUCCCUUCCUCAGUUCUGCUUUGAUUAUAACUUUAUAAGCACCUAUCACUCUGCAUGGUAUUAGUUCACUGUCAUGUCCAUUUCCUCUAUUGGGAUGUAAAUUGCUUAUGGGUAAUAAUUAGGCUUUGAAUCAUUUUAUGAUCUGGCCUAAGACAGUGCUUGGCACAUACUAUAGGCUCAUCAGAUGAUGGCUGAGUAGAAUUAAAUUGAAUCAAGUUGAAGUUAUACUUUGAUGUUUAUCAAUUAACAUGUGUAGUGUGUUAAAUGGUGGUCACUGAAAACAUACGUCUGCACCCUAAUUCCUGGAACCUGUGAAUAUAACCUUACAUGUUAAGAAGAAAUAUGACCUUAAAUGGAUAUGGAGACAAGGAGCUUAUCCUGGAUUGUCUGAGAGGGCCCUAGAUGCAAUCGCAUGUAUUCUGAUAAGUGGAGAGAAACAGAAGAGGAGGAUGCAAUGUGACCAUGUAGGCAGAAGUUUGAAUGGUGCAGCCACAAGCCAAGGAGCCCCUGGGGCCAUCAGAAGCUGGAAGAAGCAAGGAAUGGAUUCCUUCCUAGUGUUUGGAAGGAGUGUGCACUUGCCAACACCUUGGUUUGAGACUUCUGGCCUCUGGAACUGUGACAGAAUAAAUAUCUGUUGUUUUGAGCCAAAAAUGCCCCCAGAAGUUUGUUUGCAUCAUGAAGAUCAGAUUUUGAGGAUCCAGUCUGGCUCUUCCCUGUACAAAACAUUCCUCACAAACAGAAUAUGGACAAUUGUUAAAUGUCAAAGGUAAAGUUAUUGUGGGAACUCCUUCAAAAAGUUCAAGUGAGAGCCCAUUCUAUGAAUGACCAUUUACAUCUAAUUUUUUUCUGUGCUAUGUUACUUAUUCUGAAGUGGUUGAUCCAAUUCCUAAAAGGGAAUAUUUCAUUACCUUUUAUUUCCUAUAGCAUCCAUUCUGACCCCUUUUCGGUUUAAUUAUUCCCUGAUUCCAGUCUUCAUUCACUCAUUUAUUUGAGGAAUAUUUAUUGACCAACAACUAUGCCAGGUCCCAUUCUAUGUGUAGGGACUAUAAAGUUGAACAAGACAGAGGAGGUACUGGCCUCAGAAUUUACAUUCUAGUAGAUGAGAAAGUAAAAAUAAACACAUGAAAACAUGAAUGAACCGGAUAUUGUAGACUGUGAUAGGUGUAGUUUGGGUAAAGCACAGAGUGCAGUAGUAAAGAUAAACUGCACUCAGAGUGGGGCUAUUUUAGAUGGAAUGGAGAUCUCUGAGGAAAUGAAAUUUGAGCUGAGACCUAAAAGGUCACCCAAGGACUCAUGGGAAAACUCAGUUGUUUCUAUCAAAAUUUAGCUUCAUGAACUCCAGGCCCUUGCAAAUGAUGGUUACCAGGUGAGAAAUGUCUCACUGGCAACAGAGGUUGGCAGACCCAGCUCCAGUUCCAUCCCAGCCAACAUACCAAUGUCAUUAAAAUAAGGCCAUUCAUCAAGGUGGAGACUAUUACUAGAAACAAGCAUUCUAAAGUGCCAUUUGAGUGCCAGGCUCUCAACACUGGGCGUAGCACUGCUCCAUGAGGCUUUUGAGAGCAUAUACUGAGGCAUGACCAAAAAAAUUAAGUCCCAUGUAAGUGAUGCAACUGCUCCCCAAUUACUGUGGAAGUAUCUGCAGACUAACUAUUGUGCGUGUGUGUUUGUUUGCUUUAAUGAAUAAAUUCAGUCAACCAACCAUCUAGCUAUUGACUAAAUCCAUUCUUUUUCUUCCAAAAUGUCUAUUGGCUGAAGUUUACUGGUUUUUAUUUCUAUUCGCAUACGUAAUUUUCUAAACCCCAUUCUUAUGGAACCUUCUCUAAGUUCCUCUCUAUGGCCCUGUCCAUGUUCAUACGGAUACACAUAAAGACACAAAUACACCAAACUAAGUUUAGAGCAGUCUGGUGCCUGCCUAAGACUUCAGCCUCAUCUCCUGCUUCUACCCUCUUUAGUUUAGGAAAAACAGGUAACGUUGCUGAGUGCCAAGUAUUGUGUUAGUAGCUUUGCAUGCAUUUUUUCAUUUUAUCUUCACAAGUUUCUUCUAUCACCAUGAUCUGUAUGUUUGACCAUGGUGUUUCCUCCACCUGAAAUUCCCUUGGUGCUCUGCCUGGGGAACUGUUACUCAUUCUUCAAAUCUCAACGGAAUGAUCUCCUCCUCUGGAAAGCUCUCCCUACUUCCCUAGGAAGAAGUAAUCCCUUCCUCAGUUCUGCUUUGAUUAUAACUUUAUAAGCACCUAUCACUCUGCAUGGUAUUAGUUCACUGUCAUGUCCAUUUCCUCUAUUGGGAUGUAAAUUGCUUAUGGGUAAUAAUUAGGCUUUGAAUCAUUUUAUGAUCUGGCCUAAGACAGUGCUUGGCACAUACUAUAGGCUCAUCAGAUGAUGGCUGAGUAGAAUUAAAUUGAAUCAAGUUGAAGUUAUACUUUGAUGUUUAUCAAUUAACAUGUGUAGUGUGUUAAAUGGUGGUCACUGAAAACAUACGUCUGCACCCUAAUUCCUGGAACCUGUGAAUAUAACCUUACAUGUUAAGAAGAAAUAUGACCUUAAAUGGAUAUGGAGACAAGGAGCUUAUCCUGGAUUGUCUGAGAGGGCCCUAGAUGCAAUCGCAUGUAUUCUGAUAAGUGGAGAGAAACAGAAGAGGAGGAUGCAAUGUGACCAUGUAGGCAGAAGUUUGAAUGGUGCAGCCACAAGCCAAGGAGCCCCUGGGGCCAUCAGAAGCUGGAAGAAGCAAGGAAUGGAUUCCUUCCUAGUGUUUGGAAGGAGUGUGCACUUGCCAACACCUUGGUUUGAGACUUCUGGCCUCUGGAACUGUGACAGAAUAAAUAUCUGUUGUUUUGAGCCACCCAAUUGUUGCUAAUUUGUUAAAGCAACCUUAGAAAAUUAAUAUAGCAUCCACAAUAAAAUUUCUCAAAAUAUAUGUUCCUGUGAAAUGGAAGAGUUCUAGGGAUCUAGUAGCAUAUACGGAACCCAGAUAAGUUAUACAAGUUUUUCCCUGAAAGUCUUUUCAGAUUCUUUAGCGGGCUAAGGUGCAUUGUGAAUCCCAAAAACUUUAGCGUUUUUCAGCAUCUAUUAUCACAUAAUCCUUUCCCCACCCAUGGAAUUAUAUACUAAACUGUUUUUGUAGAUGUUGAUGUUCUGUAGAACAGAGUUUUGGGGUCUGUAUGACUUAAGAUCCUUCUACAAUGGAACACAGUGAGGAGGGUAUUCAGAGGAGUCAUAGAGGGCAUUGAUCUUGCAAUAUAUACUCAGGAAAUUACCAUGGGCAGAAUAAAAUGCUUUUGAAAAU